UGGGGAAUUUUGCACAAUGGGGGAAACCCUGAUGCAGCGACGCCGCGUGAUUUAGAAGGCCUUCGGGUUGUAAAAAUCUUUUUUACGGGAUGAAAAUGACAGUACCGUAAGAAUAAGGUCCGGCUAAAUACGUGCCAGCAGCCGCGGUAAUACGUAUGGACCGAGCGUUGUCCGGAAUCAUUGGGCGUAAAGGGUACGUAGGCGGCCUAGUAAGUUAGAAGUGAAAUAAUAUAGCUCAACUAUAUAAAGCUUUUAAAACUGCUAGGCUUGAGAGAUGGAAGGGAAAGUGGAAUUCCUAGUGUAGCGGUGAAAUGCGCAGAUAUUUGGAAGAAUACCGGUGGCGAAGGCGACUUUCUGGUCAUCAUCUGACGCUGAGGUACGAAAGCGUGGGUAGCAAACAGG
Molecule: ribosomal RNA, 402 nt
Filed under: bacterium
Lineage: Bacteria
Description: partial 16S ribosomal RNA
Rfam family: Bacterial small subunit ribosomal RNA
Source: RNAcentral